UGCCCCGUGGCUUAGUUGGUUACGGCGUCCGACUGUUACGACUUGAGUUGAUAUCGGAAGAUCGAGAGUUCAAGUCUCUCCGGGGCAG
This is a non-coding RNA of Flammula alnicola, 88 nucleotides long. NCBI's taxonomy places the organism in Eukaryota, Fungi, Basidiomycota, Agaricomycetes, Agaricales, Strophariaceae. The record is from the annotation of a GenBank genome assembly.